CAGAUUACAAGUGGACACCUGAGUCAGCAGGACCUGGAAUCCCAGAUGAGAGAGCUUAUCUACACGACUCAGAUCUUGUUGUCACCCCCAUUAUUGACAAUCCAAAGGUGCAGAAAGCACUCUGACAAAUAAUGAAACAACCACCAUCGGUUAAAUUUGAUGCAAAAAUAUUGCAUCUACCAGCAUUUUCAGUUAUAAUUUCUGAAAGACCAAGAUUGGAAUGACUUUUUGUAACAAGUGUGCUCGCAGAUCGACUCCAGUGAGAAGAGCUCGGGGACCUCCUGAGCCAAGCUUAAUCUCCUUUGCUGUUUGUGAGUGGUGGCUGGUCACCAGGAGGUGGCCACCAGGCUCCUCCUUUCCCCACUGUUCCAAUUGCUAAUCCAGCAUUUGUGGAUAGCUGCAAACUGUGAUAUAUGGGCCAAGGUUGCUCGGGUGAUUGGUUUACUGGCUUCGCACAAAACUGAUCUCCAGGAAAAUACACCUGUUGUUGAG
RNAcentral lists this long non-coding RNA (492 nucleotides) under Homo sapiens (human). Its description in RNAcentral is "non-protein coding lnc-GOLGA8H-2:6". The record is from RNAcentral. Lineage: Eukaryota; Metazoa; Chordata; Mammalia; Primates; Hominidae.